GACGAACCGUGCGAACGUUGUUCGGAAUCACUGGGCUUAAAGGGCGCGUAGGCGGGUGUGCAAGUCUGCGGUGAAAGCCUCCAGCUUAACUGGAGAAGUGCCGUGGAUACUGCUCAUCUUGAGGAGGGUAGGGGCAUCUGGAACGGUCGGUGGAGCGGUGAAAUGCGUUGAUAUCGACCGGAACUCCGGUGGCGAAGGCGAGGUGCUGGACCCUUUCUGACGCUGAGGCGCGAAAGCCAGGGGAGCGAACGGG
Molecule: ribosomal RNA, 253 nt
Filed under: uncultured bacterium
Lineage: Bacteria
Description: partial 16S ribosomal RNA
Rfam family: Bacterial small subunit ribosomal RNA
Source: RNAcentral